UCGAGGAUCUUCCGCAAUGGGCGCAAGCCUGACGGAGCGACGCCGCGUGUGGGAUGAAGGCCUUCGGGUUGUAAACCACUGUCACUCGUUAAGAAAGGGUCCGGCGUCAACAGCGUCGGGCACUGACGAAGGCGAGAGAGGAAGCCACGGCUAACUUCGUGCCAGCAGCCGCGGUAAGACGAAGGUGGCGAGCGUUGUUCGGAAUCACUGGGCAUAAAGCGCACGUAGGCGGUGCCGUAAGUCGGGUGUGAAAUCCCUCGGCCUAACCGAGGAACUGCGCCCGAUACUGCGGUGCGUGAGGACCAGAGGGGUGCAUGGAAUUUCCGGUGGAGCGGUGAAAUGCGUUGAUAUCGGAAGGAACUCCGGCGGCGAAAGCGAUGCACUGGCUGGUUUCUGACGCUGAGGUGCGAAAGCCAGGGGAGCAAACGGG
Molecule: ribosomal RNA, 430 nt
Filed under: bacterium
Lineage: Bacteria
Description: partial 16S ribosomal RNA
Rfam family: Bacterial small subunit ribosomal RNA
Source: RNAcentral